Molecule: ribosomal RNA, 325 nt
Filed under: Pachypus sp. Pmel2
Lineage: Eukaryota; Metazoa; Arthropoda; Insecta; Coleoptera; Scarabaeidae
Description: partial 16S ribosomal RNA
Source: RNAcentral
GCAUAAUCAUUAGUUUUUUAAUUGAAAGCUGGAAUGAAAGGUUGGACGAGAGAAUGACUGUCUCAGUCUAAUUUAUAUUAGAAUUUUAUUUUUAAGUAAAAAAGCUUAAAUAGUUUUAAAAGACGAGAAGACCCUAUAGAAUUUUAUACUUAUUUAGUUAAGGAUUUUUAAGUUAAUUUUUAUUUUUAUUUAGAAAUGUAUUUUGUUGGGGGGAUAGAAAAAUUUAAUGAACUUUUUUUAUGGGGGGAUCAUUAAUGUAUGAGUAAUUGAUCCAUAUUUUAUGAUUAAAAGAUUAAAUUACCUUAGGGAUAACAGCGUAAUUUUU